CCCAGGACUCCCCUGUUUGCAUUUGCUCCAUGUCAGGCUCACUGUGCUUCACAGUAAAGCUUCAAGGAAUUUUGGUCCCUGGAAGCUGGUGGGGGGGCUGUGUCACUCUUGUGACAAAGGAGGUGGCCGAGACUCCCACCUGCCCUCCUUGCCUGAUAUAGCCACAUUCCUAUGGGUAUUCUGGUUCCAUUACAAAGAGUUUGGGAACUUUCAUAAUCAAAGAAGACUCAGUUGCCAGAUGGACUUGGAACAAAUCACUGAGCUUCUCUGAGCCUCAGUAUCCUCUCCUGUUGGAUUAUGAUAAUCAUACAUGACUAGGAGGAGAUGAACCAGGAAAUGGGUGGAGGAGGGAGCUCCUAUUUGAUAAAUGAAAGAACUGAGGAACUGGGGAACUGGGCCAGGAGCCCUCAGACGUGGCCACCAGGGGGCAGCCAAGUCCUUCCUACGUCUAUGGACUCAGAUGCUGUUCUGUUGGGAGCCGCGGCCGACACCGGUCGCCUUACUUGGCGGACGUAGGGCCUGUGGGUGGGAGCGGAGCCUGAGCUAGAUUGCCCCUCCCAUCGAGUGAGUCAAGUUGGCGCCUGCUUCCUGCCCCCUGAUUGCGCUGGUGACUUAAACAACCCGCUCUGUAAGAUAGUCUGCCUAGCAACAGCUGAUGUUAGCCAGUCAGCCCGCAUCGCGCGCUUUGAACUGAUUGGCUACUGUUGCCCUAUAAAAGUGAAUGCCUCUCCCGCCACGAGAGGAAGCACAGAGAGAGAUAGAAAAAGUCCACCGGCGAGAAAGGACUGGUGACAGAGAGGAGGCCUCGCGGGGCCCACGCGGAGACAAAUAAAGGCAAGGUUGCACACCGCCAGAA
This is a long non-coding RNA of Cavia porcellus (domestic guinea pig), 856 nucleotides long. RefSeq lists it as uncharacterized. The record is from RefSeq and is a predicted model, not a curated record. Lineage: Eukaryota; Metazoa; Chordata; Mammalia; Rodentia; Caviidae. The transcript has 3 exons.